RNAcentral lists this ribosomal RNA (393 nucleotides) under uncultured bacterium. Its description in RNAcentral is "partial 16S ribosomal RNA". It matches the Rfam family "Bacterial small subunit ribosomal RNA", at positions 523 to 918 of the family's 1533-position model. The record is from RNAcentral.
AUACGGAGGAUGCGAGCGUUAUCCGGAUUUAUUGGGUUUAAAGGGUGCGUAGGCGGCCGCUUAAGUCAGCUGUGAAAUGCCCGCGCUUAACGCGGGAAGGGCAGUUGAUACUGGUUGUCUGCAGUGCCGUUGCCGUGGGGGGAAUGUGUAGCGUAGCGGUGAAAUGCAUAGAUAUUACAUAGAACGCCGAUUGUGAAGACACCUCACGAAGCGGUAACUGACGCUGAGGCACGAAAGUGCGGGGAUCGAACAGGAUUAGAUACCCUGGUAGUCCGCACAGUAAACGAUGAAUACUUGUUUUCGGCGAUAUAAUGUCGGAGGCAAAGCGAAAGCGAUAAGUAUUCCACCUGGGGAGUACGCCGGCAACGGUGAAACUCAAAGGAAUUGGCGGGG